RNAcentral lists this long non-coding RNA (522 nucleotides) under Chrysemys picta bellii (western painted turtle). Its description in RNAcentral is "lncRNA (ENSCPBG00000017183.1)". Lineage: Eukaryota; Metazoa; Chordata; Testudines; Emydidae. The record is from RNAcentral.
CAUGUCCAAAAAUCAACGUAUACAGAAAUUCACUCAUUAUGCUCUGUUUCUUUCUUUCUAAUCAGACAUAUCCUUUGUGAUGACUAAUGGUCACCUCACUGAUGCUUCUGGCUGGCAGCACUUACCUAGACAUUGAUUCUGGAUGAGGUCCAGGUCUCUUCUACUGACAGGCAUGAGGCCUUUGAGAUGUCCUCUGUGCGACAAAGGAAGAACUUCUCCUGAAAUCUACGAGCUUAUAGCAGCACCUACAAUAUGCCAGGUGCUGCACAAGGCUGAAGGAAGGCCUGGAGAUCUUACUAUCUAAUGGCCUAAACCUCUAAACAUGCAUUUGCAUAACUUCAUUCAGGUGAGUAGUCCCAUUGGUCAAAUAAGUCUACUCAGGUGAGUAAUGUUAUGCAUAACUUAAACAUAUGCAGGACUGUGUAUUAGGUUAUUGGACAGACAAACAAUAUAGGAAAGUCUUACAGGUAAAGUGGUAGUUGGCAGAGUCUUAAUACAAUAUGCUGAUUAUACAUUUUGUAA